Molecule: transfer RNA, 73 nt
Organism: Vitis vinifera (wine grape)
Lineage: Eukaryota; Viridiplantae; Streptophyta; Magnoliopsida; Vitales; Vitaceae
Rfam family: tRNA
About the family: Transfer RNA (tRNA) molecules are approximately 80 nucleotides in length.
Source: Rfam
ACCUACUUAAUUCAGUGGUUAAAGUAUUGCUUUCAUACCGUGGGAGUCAUUGGUUCAAAUCCAAUAGUAGGUA